GGAAAUGCAGAUUGGUUAAUACCCAACCUGUUUGACAAAGGCCCCAAAGGAAGCCACGGCUAACUCUGUGCCAGCAGCCGCGGUAAUACAGAGGUGGCAAGCGUUGUUCGGUAUUAUUGGGCGUAAAGAGCACGUAGGUGGUUUUGUAAGUCAGAUGUGAAAGCCUUCUGUUCAAAGGAAGAACGGCAUCUGAAACUGCAGAUCUUGAGUGUAGGAGGGGAGAGUGGAAC
RNAcentral lists this ribosomal RNA (230 nucleotides) under uncultured Planctomycetales bacterium. RNAcentral describes it as "partial 16S ribosomal RNA". It matches the Rfam family "Bacterial small subunit ribosomal RNA", at positions 446 to 667 of the family's 1533-position model. Lineage: Bacteria; Pseudomonadati; Planctomycetota; Planctomycetia; Planctomycetales. The record is from RNAcentral.